This is a long non-coding RNA of Daphnia pulicaria, 814 nucleotides long. RefSeq lists it as uncharacterized. The transcript has 4 exons. Lineage: Eukaryota; Metazoa; Arthropoda; Branchiopoda; Diplostraca; Daphniidae. The record is from RefSeq and is a predicted model, not a curated record.
AGGGGGCAUCCGGGCAUCAAAGUUUUGAGACAACUGACAAUCUGACAUACAACUAGUUCUUUACUUCUUUUCCAUCAAGAUACUGGCUGAGAAGGUUACUUUAAUUAUUUCUGGGUACUUUCUUUCCCAACAUUGUUCUUCAUAAAAAAGGAUGGUGGAGAUGUUUCUCAAUGUGCAGAGCAGAUGAGAGCCCCGAAGUUCUGCAAGAUGCCUGUAAUUGUAUCAUGUUGCGAGAUGAAAAUGGGAAGAAAAUGGAAAUCUGAAAUAAUUCCUUGGUAAAUUUGGUGUUGAAGCUGACAAUGGUGGUGAUUUCUGGUGUGCAGUGGUGUGGAAGUCAUUUUCUGAUUGAGAAAUGCACUGAUAUGAAGCUUCUGCAGACUUGCUGUUCAACAUCAGACUUGAAAAAACAAUGUUGGUGUUGAUGCAGUGUUGAGCUGUUGUGAAAAAUAGUUUGUGUUGCCAGAUGACUCUGGCAUUUUUUUGGUGUGUUCUUCUGCUUCCUGUACACAUGGUGAGUUCAAUCGAAUGGCGCCGUUUCAAACUUGAUCCACUGGGGAAGCUAAGGAGAAGUUGCUGUUAUUCAAGACUGAUAGAUUAUUCAGAUUUAGACAAAUUCAAAAUGCAAAUCUAUUGUCCUUUUUCCCUAAGUAAACAAAACGACCUUAGUUGUGUGAAAACCAGGAAUGUUAUCAUGGAAUGGGGAAUUGCAAUGAAAUUAUAUAUUAUGAGAAAAGUUAAACCACAAAUUGAAAUGUUCCAACACUUACUGCUUUUAAUCAAUAACAUGCACUCAAUUUAAAAAUAAACCUUUGAA